AGUGAACGCUGGCGGCAUGCUUUACACAUGCAAGUCGAACGGUAACAGGCUUUCGGCUGCUGACGAGUGGCGGACGGGGGCGUAAGGCAUCGGAACGCGCCCGGAGGUGGGGUAUAACGGGGGGUAAGCUGUGCUAACACCGCAUGAGACCUGAGGCUGAAUGCGGGGGACAAGACGGCAACGUUUGGCCUCGCGCCUUUGGAUGGGCCGAUGUCGGAUUAGGUAGUUGGUGGGGUAAAGGCCUACCAAGCCGACGAUCCGUAGCUGGUCUGAGAGGACGACCAGCCACACUGGGACUGAGACACGGCCCAGACUCCUACGGGAGGCAGCAGUGGGGAAUAUUGGACAAUGGGCGCAAGCCUGAUCCAGCAAUACCGCGUGCGGGAAGAAGGCCUUCGGGUUGUAAACCGCUUUUGUACGGAACGAAAAGGAUCUGGUUAAUACCCCGGUGUGAUGACGGUACCGUAAGAAUAAGCACCGGCUAACUUCGUG
This 492-nucleotide ribosomal RNA is filed under the name uncultured bacterium. Its description in RNAcentral is "partial 16S ribosomal RNA". It matches the Rfam family "Bacterial small subunit ribosomal RNA", at positions 30 to 507 of the family's 1533-position model. The record is from RNAcentral.